GACAGAGGGUGCAAACGUUGUUCGGAAUUACUGGGCGUAAAGCGUGUGUAGGCGGCUAUGUAAGUCGGAUGUGAAAGCCCUGGGCUCAACCCAGGAAGUGCACUCGAUACUGCGUAGCUUGAGUACCGGAGAGGUUGGUGGAAUUCUCGGUGUAGAGGUGAAAUUCGUAGAUAUCGAGAGGAACACCGGUGGCGAAGGCGGCCAACUGGACGAGUACUGACGCUGAGACACGAAAGCGUGGGGAGCAAACAGG
Molecule: ribosomal RNA, 253 nt
Filed under: uncultured bacterium
Lineage: Bacteria
Description: partial 16S ribosomal RNA
Rfam family: Bacterial small subunit ribosomal RNA
Source: RNAcentral